Molecule: ribosomal RNA, 280 nt
Filed under: uncultured bacterium
Lineage: Bacteria
Description: partial 16S ribosomal RNA
Rfam family: Bacterial small subunit ribosomal RNA
Source: RNAcentral
UGCCAGCCGCCGCGGUAAUACGGAGGGCGCAAGCGUUGUUCGGAAUCAUUGGGCGUAAAGCGCGCGUAGGCGGCUUGGCAAGUUGGGUGUGAAAUCCCGGGGCUCAACCCCGGAACUGCACUCAAAACUGCCUCGCUAGAGUCCCGGAGAGGAUGGCGGAAUUCCCGGUGUAGAGGUGAAAUUCGUAGAUAUCGGGAGGAACACCAGUGGCGAAGGCGGCCAUCUGGACGGUGACUGACGCUGAGGUGCGAAAGCGUGGGGAGCAAACAGGAUUAGAUAC